GGGGGUGCCCGAGUGCCGCCGCCGCCGCCGCCCGCCAUGAGGGCAGCGCUCGCCCCCGGGGUUCGCCUGCUCCGCGCCCUCCCCCGGGACAGCCGCUAUCGGGGGCUGACUCUGGUACUGACCUUCCUCUCCUACACCAGCUACCACCUCUCCCGAAAACCCAUCAGCAUCGUCAAGAGCCAGCUGCACCCCAACUGCUCAGCCUUGGGCCUGAACCCCCACAAUGACUCCAACAGCAGCACAUGGUGCUGCUGGGCCCCCUUUGAUGGGGACAACUACAAGGAGCUUUUUGGGGCACUGGAUAAUGCCUUCCUGGUGGCCUACGCCAUCGGGAUGUUUAUCAGCGGCAUUUUUGGGGAGCGCCUCCCUCUGCGCUAUUACCUGUCGGGGGGAAUGGUGCUGAGUGGGCUCUUCACUGCACUUUUCGGCCUCGGCUACUUCUGGGACAUCCAUGUCCUCUGGUACUUCAUCGUCGUGCAGGUCUGCAAUGGGCUGGUGCAGACGACUGGCUGGCCUGCAGUCGUGGCAUGCGUUGGAAACUGGUUUGGGAAAGGAAAGAGAGGUUUGAUCAUGGGCAUCUGGAACUCGCACACCUCCGUCGGCAACAUCUUAGGGUCGCUCAUCGCCGGCGCCUGGGUUUCCUCUGCCUGGGGCCUGUCCUUCGUUGUGCCCGGCAUCAUCAUCACCACCGUGGGCAUCAUCUGCUUCUUCUUCCUCGUGGAGUAUCCUGAAGAUGUUGACUGCAGUCCACCUCUGCAUCACAUGGCUCAUGACGAGGAUCCUGGAGGAGUGACCAUCAGUGAGAAGGAUCCUGAAGCAGUCACCUCCAACGAGGGCCCACUCAGCCUCUCAGGCCAGAGCAGUGUGGAUCACUCCCACAGCCCCAAGGAGCCAGCUGAGGAGCCCGAAGCCAUCAGCUUCCUUGGGGCACUUCGGAUACCUGGUGUGGUGGAGUUCUCCCUGUGCCUGCUCUUUGCCAAACUGGUGAGCUACACCUUCCUCUACUGGCUGCCCCUCUACAUUGUCAACGUCGCUCAUUUCGGUGCCAAGGAAGCCGGGGACCUGUCGACCCUCUUUGAUGUUGGGGGUAUUUUAGGGGGGAUCUUUGCUGGCCUCAUCUCUGACUACACUGGCGGCAGGGCCACCACGUGCUGCGUGAUGCUGGUGGUCGCCGCUCCCAUGCUGUUCCUGUAUAACCACAUCGGUCAGAACGGCAUUGGCACAUCAAUAGCGAUGCUGAUCAUCUGUGGUGCUCUGGUUAAUGGGCCCUACGCGCUCAUCACAACAGCGGUGUCGGCAGAUUUGGGAACCCAUGAAUCUCUCAAAGGAAAUGCCAAAGCCCUUUCGACUGUCACGGCCAUCAUCGACGGCACGGGAUCCGUUGGUGCUGCACUGGGGCCGCUGCUCGCUGGGCUCAUCUCUCCCACGGGCUGGAAUAAUGUCUUUUACAUGUUGAUAGCUGCUGAUGUCCUGGCUUGUCUGCUCCUUGCUCGUGUGGUGGUCAAAGAGGCCCGUGGCUGGUGUGGCUACAUGGCGAGGAAGAGAGGGUACGUAGUUACCAACCUGGGGCAGCCUCUGGUCCCACGAUGCCAAAACACGGCGUCAUUGCCACUCCAGAAAGAUGUUUGUUAUCCCUUGCUGUUGCUGCUGCAUCUUCACGUGGGCAUCGCCCCGGGCUUCGCCAAGCCGUCUGCCUGAUGUCUCGCUCCUGUGGCCACAGAGACAUUUCCACCCUGAGCCAAGGCAGCACCUGGGGGAUUUUAGCCAUCUGCACCUCAAAAAACACUUGGGGUGCUAAACACACCGUCCUUGUGUCUUUGUAGCUCUAGUGUGCAGCUAACAGAGUCAGUGAUGGAUGGGAAGUAGCUUGGUGUGAAAGACCAAUAGUCUGGGCCUCGUGCUGCGGUUUAAGGAGUUUUGACGUGCCCCCUGCGAGCCGCCCCAAGCCCAGAGGGAGGAGAGAGGCUGGGGCACACCGGGAGUGCGUCUGGGCAAAGCUGCAGCCCAGCCUCGGGCACGGCCCCGGGGGCUCACUGCCACCAUAGGUUUGCUUCCAACGGAGGCAGGGGCGAGGAGCAGUCAAAGGGCCCUGGCCAAAUGGUUUUCGGGGUCAAUUCUUCACCAUCGGCCAUUUUAUUAAUAAAAACGUGCAAAACCUG
Corvus hawaiiensis (hawaiian crow) is the source of this 2159-nucleotide RNA transcript. It is a transcript of the gene named solute carrier family 37 member 2, with no coding region annotated. The record is from RefSeq and is a predicted model, not a curated record. The transcript is spliced from 19 exons. NCBI's taxonomy places the organism in Eukaryota, Metazoa, Chordata, Aves, Passeriformes, Corvidae.